RNAcentral lists this ribosomal RNA (388 nucleotides) under uncultured bacterium. RNAcentral's name for it is "bacterial SSU rRNA". It matches the Rfam family "Bacterial small subunit ribosomal RNA", at positions 28 to 417 of the family's 1533-position model. The record is from RNAcentral.
GACGAACGCUGGCGGCGUGCUUAACACAUGCAAGUCGAGCGGUAAGGCCCUUUCGGGGGUACACGAGCGGCGAACGGGUGAGUAACACGUGGGUGACCUGCCCUCAGCUCUGGGAUAAGCCUGGGAAACCGGGUCUAAUACUGGAUAUGACUCCAUGACGCAUGUUGUGGGGUGGAAAGCCUUGUGCGGCUGAGGAUGGGCCCCGNGGCCUAUCAGCUUGUUGGUGGGGUGAGGCCUACCAAGGCGACGACGGGUAGCCGGCCUGAGAGGGCGACCGGCCACACUGGGACUGAGACACGGCCCAGACUCCUACGGGAGGCAGCAGUGGGGAAUCUUGCGCAAUGGGCGAAAGCCUGACGCAGCGACGCCGCGUGAGGGAUGACGGCCU